GACGAACGCUGGCGGCGUGCCUAAUACAUGCAAGUUGAGCGAUGAAGCUUGGUGCUUGCACCAAUUUGAAGAGCAGCGAACGGGUGAGUAACGCGUGGGGAAUCUGCCUUUGAGCGGGGGGCAACAUUUGGAAACGAAUGCUAAUACCGCAUAACAACUUUAAACAUAAGUUUUAAGUUUGAAAGAUGCAGUUGCAUCACUCAAAGAUGAUCCCGCGUUGUAUUAGCUAGUUGGUGAGGUAAAGGCUCACCAAGGCGAUGAUACAUAGCCGACCUGAGAGGGUGAUCGGCCACAUUGGGACUGAGACACGGCCCAAACUCCUACGGGAGGCAGCAGUAGGGAAUCUUCGGCAAUGGACGAAAGUCUGACCGAGCAACGCCGCGUGAGUGAAGAAGGUUUUCGGAUCGUAAAACUCUGUUGGUAGAGAAGAACGUUGGUGAGAGUGGAAAGCUCAUCAAGUGACGGUAACUACCCAGAAAGGGACGGCUAACUACGUG
Molecule: ribosomal RNA, 497 nt
Filed under: uncultured bacterium
Lineage: Bacteria
Description: partial 16S ribosomal RNA
Rfam family: Bacterial small subunit ribosomal RNA
Source: RNAcentral